RNAcentral lists this ribosomal RNA (245 nucleotides) under uncultured bacterium. Its description in RNAcentral is "partial 16S ribosomal RNA". It matches the Rfam family "Bacterial small subunit ribosomal RNA", at positions 524 to 768 of the family's 1533-position model. The record is from RNAcentral.
UACGGAGGGUGCAAGCGUUGCUCGGAAUUAUUGGGCGUAAAGCGCGUGUAGGCGGUCAUGUAAGUCAGAUGUGAAAGCCUUUCGCUUAACGGAAGAAGUGCAUUUGAAACUAUAUGACUGGAGUACGGGAGAGGAGAGUGGAAUUCCCGGUGUAGAGGUGAAAUUCGUAGAUAUCGGGAGGAGCAUCAGUGGCGAAGACGGCUCUCUGGUCCGAUACUGACGCUGAGACGCGAAAGCGUGGGGAG